CCUACGGGAGGCAGCAGUGGGGAAUAUUGCGCAAUGGGCGAAAGCCUGACGCAGCGACGCCGCGUGAGGGAUGAAGGUCCUCGGAUCGUAAACCUCUGUCAGCAGGGAAGAACGGUCACUGUGCUAAUCAGCAGUGAAUUGACGGUACCUGCAAAGGAAGCACCGGCUAACUCCGUGCCAGCAGCCGCGGUAAUACGGAGGGUGCGAGCGUUCAUCGGAAUUACUGGGCGUAAAGCGAUCGUAGGCGGUAUGUCAAGUCAAGGGUGAAAUCCCCGCGCUCAACGUGGGAACUGCCGUUGAAACGGGCAGACUGGAGUGUAGGAGAGGAUAGUGGAAUUCCAGGUGUAGGAGUGAAAUGCGUAGAUAUCUGGAGGAACAUCAGUGGCGAAGGCGACUAUCUGGCACAUAACUGACGCUGAGGAGCGAAAGCGUGGGUAGCAAACAGGAUUAGAUACCCGAGUAGUC
Molecule: ribosomal RNA, 465 nt
Filed under: uncultured bacterium
Lineage: Bacteria
Description: partial 16S ribosomal RNA
Rfam family: Bacterial small subunit ribosomal RNA
Source: RNAcentral